UACGUAGGUGGCAAGCGUUAUCCGGAAUUAUUGGGCGUAAAGAGCGCGCAGGUGGUUGAUUAAGUCUGAUGUGAAAGCCCACGGCUUAACCGUGGAGGGUCAUUGGAAACUGGUGACUUGAGUGCAGAAGAGGGAAGUGGAAUUCCAUGUGUAGCGGUGAAAUGCGUAGAGAUAUGGAGGAACACCAGUGGCGAAGGCGGCUUCCUGGUCUGUAACUGACACUGAGGCGCGAAAGCGUGGGAGGCAAACAGGAUUAGAUACCCU
This 264-nucleotide ribosomal RNA is filed under the name uncultured prokaryote. RNAcentral describes it as "partial 16S ribosomal RNA". It matches the Rfam family "Bacterial small subunit ribosomal RNA", at positions 524 to 788 of the family's 1533-position model. The record is from RNAcentral.